This 253-nucleotide ribosomal RNA is filed under the name uncultured microorganism. RNAcentral describes it as "partial 16S ribosomal RNA". It matches the Rfam family "Bacterial small subunit ribosomal RNA", at positions 524 to 776 of the family's 1533-position model. The record is from RNAcentral.
UACGGAGGGUGCGAGCGUUAAUCGGAAUUACUGGGCGUAAAGCGUGCGCAGGCGGUUUGUUAAGCGAGAUGUGAAAGCCCCGGGCUCAACCUGGGAACCGCAUUUCGAACUGGCAAACUAGAGUCUUGUAGAGGGGGGUAGAAUUCCAGGUGUAGCGGUGAAAUGCGUAGAGAUCUGGAGGAAUACCAGUGGCGAAAGCGACUCCCUGGACUGACCCUGACGCUGAGGCUCGAAAGCAUGGGUAGCGAACAGG